This 84-nucleotide transfer RNA is filed under the name Holospora curviuscula. Its description in RNAcentral is "tRNA-Leu". It matches the Rfam family "tRNA". Rfam says of the family: Transfer RNA (tRNA) molecules are approximately 80 nucleotides in length. Their secondary structure includes four short double-helical elements and three loops (D, anti-codon, and T loops). The record is from RNAcentral. RNAcentral also lists the same sequence under 1 other name. Lineage: Bacteria; Pseudomonadati; Pseudomonadota; Alphaproteobacteria; Holosporales; Holosporaceae.
GCGGUCAUGGCGAAGCUGGUAGAUGCGCAACGUUGAGGUCGUUGUGGGGGAAACCCCAGGGAAGUUCGAAUCUUCUUGACCGCA